AAUAGAUACCCCGGUAGUCCACGCCGUAAACGAUGAGUGCUAAGUGUUAGAGGGUUUCCGCCCUUUAGUGCUGCAGCUAACGCAUUAAGCACUCUGCCUGGGGAGUACGGCCGCAAGGCUGAAACUCAAAGGAAUUGACGGGGGCCCGCACAAGCGGUGGAGCAUGUGGUUUAAUUCGAAGCAACGCGAAGAACCUUACCAGGUCUUGACAUCCUUUGCUAACCCUAGAGAUAGGGCAUUCCCCUUCGGGGGACAGAGUGACAGGUGGUGCAUGGUUGUCGUCAGCUCGUGUCGUGAGAUGUUGGGUUAAGUCCCGCAACGAGCGCAACCCUUGAUCUUAGUUGCCAGCAUUCAGUUGGGCACUCUAAGGUGACUGCCGGUGAUAAACCGGAGGAAGGUGGGGAUGACGUCAAAUCAUCAUGCCCCUUAUGACCUGGGCUACACACGUGCUACAAUGGAUGGUACAAAGAGCUGCGAACCCGCGAGGGUAAGCGAAUCUCAUAAAGCCAUUCUCAGUUCGGAUUGUAGG
Molecule: ribosomal RNA, 529 nt
Filed under: uncultured bacterium
Lineage: Bacteria
Description: bacterial SSU rRNA
Rfam family: Bacterial small subunit ribosomal RNA
Source: RNAcentral